Non-coding RNA from Phrynosoma platyrhinos (Desert horned lizard), 72 nucleotides. Lineage: Eukaryota; Metazoa; Chordata; Lepidosauria; Squamata; Phrynosomatidae. The record is from the annotation of a GenBank genome assembly.
AUUUGCAUGGCAUGGUGGUUUGUGUGCUAGUCUAUGACUCUGGAGACCAGGGUUCGAUUCUCCGCUCAGCUG